UACGGGGGGCUGCAGUUGCGGAAUAUUGCACAAUGGGCGCAAGCCUGAUGCAGCCAUGCCGCGUGUGUGAAGAAGGCUCUAGGGUUGUAAAGCACUUUCAGCGAGGAGGAAAGGUUGGUUGUUAAUACCGGCCAACUGUGACGUUACUCGCAGAAGAAGCACCGGCUAACUCCGUGCCAGCAGCCGCGGUAAUACGGAGGGUGCGAGCGUUAAUCGGAAUUACUGGGCGUAAAGCGUGCGUAGGCGGCUACUUAAGUUGGAUGUGAAAGCCCCGGGCUCAACCCGGGAACUGCAUCCAAAACUGGGUAGCUGGAGUGCGGAAGAGGAGUGUGGAAUUUCCUGUGUAGCGGUGAAAUGCGUAGAUAUAGGAAGGAACACCAGUGGCGAAGGCGACACUCUGGUCUGACACUGACGCUGAGGUACGAAAGCGUGGGGAGCAAACAGGAUUAGAUACCCUGGUAGUCCACGCCGU
Molecule: ribosomal RNA, 472 nt
Filed under: uncultured Gammaproteobacteria bacterium
Lineage: Bacteria; Pseudomonadati; Pseudomonadota; Gammaproteobacteria
Description: bacterial SSU rRNA
Rfam family: Bacterial small subunit ribosomal RNA
Source: RNAcentral